This 450-nucleotide ribosomal RNA is filed under the name uncultured bacterium. Its description in RNAcentral is "bacterial SSU rRNA". It matches the Rfam family "Bacterial small subunit ribosomal RNA", at positions 355 to 796 of the family's 1533-position model. The record is from RNAcentral.
UGAGGAAUCUUGCGCAAUGGACGAAAGUCUGACGCAGCGAUGCCGCGUGGGGGAUGAAGGCCUUCGGGUCGUAAACCCCUUUUGGUGGGAAAGAAACACCCAGAUGUUAACAGCGUCUGGGUCUGACGGUACCCACAGAAAAAGCCACGGCUAACUCUGUGCCAGCAGCCGCGGUAAGACAGAGGUGGCAAGCGUUGUCCGGAAUUACUGGGCGUAAAGAGCGCGUAGGUGGCUAGAUAAGUCCGGUGUGAAAUCCUUCGGCUUAACCGGGGAAUGGCAUCGGGGACUGUUUAGCUCGAGGACGGGAGAGGAGAGCGGAAUUCCCGGUGUAGCGGUGAAAUGCGUAGAUAUCGGGAAGAACACCAGUGGCGAAGGCGGCCGCCUGGAUGGAUACUGACGCUGAGACGCGAAAGCGUGGGGAGCAAACAGGAUUAGAUACCCGUGUAGUCC